This 660-nucleotide ribosomal RNA is filed under the name uncultured bacterium. RNAcentral's name for it is "bacterial SSU rRNA". It matches the Rfam family "Bacterial small subunit ribosomal RNA", at positions 1 to 663 of the family's 1533-position model. The record is from RNAcentral.
GGCUUAGAGUUUGAUCAUGGCUCAGGAUGAACGCUGGCGGCGUGCCUAACACAUGCAAGUCGAGCGAAGCACUUGCUUUUGAUUCUUCGGAUGAAGAAGCUUGUGACUGAGCGGCGGACGGGUGAGUAACACGUAGGUAACCUGCCUCACACAGGGGGAUAACAGUUAGAAAUGACUGCUAAUACCGCAUAAGCGCACAGGGCUGCAUGGCCUGGUGUGAAAAGCUCCGGCGGUGUGAGAUGGACCUGCGUCUGAUUAGCCAGUUGGCGGGGUAACGGCCCACCAAAGCGACGAUCAGUAGCCGGCCUGAGAGGGUGGACGGCCACAUUGGGACUGAGACACGGCCCAGACUCCUACGGGAGGCAGCAGUGGGGAAUAUUGCACAAUGGGGGAAACCCUGAUGCAGCGACGCCGCGUGAGCGAAGAAGUAUCUCGGUAUGUGAAGCUCUAUCAGCAGGGAAGAAAAUGACGGUACCUGACUAAGAAGCACCGGCUAAAUACGUGCCAGCAGCCGCGGUAAUACGUAUGGUGCAAGCGUUAUCCGGAUUUACUGGGUGUAAAGGGAGCGUAGACGGAGAAGCAAGUCUGGAGUGAAAGCCCGGGGCUCAACCCCGGGACUGCUUUGGAAACUGUUUGUCUAGAGUGCCGGAGAGGUAAGCG